Molecule: ribosomal RNA, 495 nt
Filed under: uncultured bacterium
Lineage: Bacteria
Description: partial 16S ribosomal RNA
Rfam family: Bacterial small subunit ribosomal RNA
Source: RNAcentral
GACGAACGCUGGCGGCGUGCCUAAUACAUGCAAGUAGAACGCUGAAGGAGGAGCUUGCUUCUCUGGAUGAGUUGCGAACGGGUGAGUAACGCGUAGGUAACCUGCCUGGUAGCGGGGGAUAACUAUUGGAAACGAUAGCUAAUACCGCAUAAGAGUAGAUGUUGCAUGACAUUUGCUUAAAAGGUGCAAUUGCAUCACUACCAGAUGGACCUGCGUUGUAUUAGCUAGUUGGUGGGGUAACGGCUCACCAAGGCGACGAUACAUAGCCGACCUGAGAGGGUGAUAGGACACACUGGGACUGAGACACGGCCCAGACUCCUACGGGAGGCAGCAGUAGGGAAUCUUAGGCAAUGGACGGAAGGCUGACCGAGCAACGCCGCGUGAGUGAAGAAGGUUGUCGGAUCGUAAAGCUCUGUUGGAAGAGAAGAAAGAGGGUGAGAGUGGAAAGUUCAAAAUGUGAAGGUAUCUUACCAGAAAGGGAAGGCUAACUAAGUG